Molecule: long non-coding RNA, 794 nt
Organism: Cyprinus carpio (common carp)
Lineage: Eukaryota; Metazoa; Chordata; Actinopteri; Cypriniformes; Cyprinidae
Exons: 6
Source: RefSeq, a predicted model, not a curated record
GUUCCAAAACAGUCACUGAGUGGGCGGAGCUCGUGUCGAAAUGUGUUCUCGUUGUAUAAAUAGCUGUUACACCUGUAUAAAUAUAUAACAGUAUGUAGUUAUAUUAUAAAAUCAUGUAGGAAUUUUUCACAUGCAGGUGUUUUUUCAGAGAUAAUAUUUUUCUUGAAGAAUUCGUUUCGUAUCAGAGGAACAGAUCAGGAAGGACUAUUAAAAUAUCCUCAGGUCCCUGGGUUGCGUGUCUAAAUCUCAGUUCAGGGACGUGCUUGGAAAGAUUAAUGUCGAAAUCGAAAGACGCCAGAGUCAUAAAUCGAAUCCGCAGAGAGAGCUGCUACCAUUAGGGAGAUAUAUGCACCUCUACAUCAACAUGUUUAUCAUCUGCAGGUGCCUCUGAGUGAGUGGAAGUGGAGCAUCAUGUAACUGAAGGUCUGCUUCACAGAGGCCUGCACAUGCACGGAGCUCUGCCCAUCUACUCAGGCACACGCUGGAACCUGAUCAUAUGGAUGCGAGCUUCACGUGAGAUGAACAAACUCUGCCCUAUGUGUGGGUUAAUAUCAUUGUCGUCAUAGUCCGACUCCAUCUCAAUCUUCACCUGGGGCACGGGGCAGGACAUCCCUCUGGUCAUUGGCAUCGCCGGAGAUGAUGGACAGGAGAUCUUCAGGCAGGAUGUCAUCCACCCAUGCCAGAUCGUGUUGAGAGAAGACCAUGUCCAACAUCUUUCGUACCACCAUAAGACCAAGAAUCUAAGGAAUCGAAGGGGGAAAAAAAAGUACUGAAGUACAUUCUGAGUACCAUCG